Molecule: ribosomal RNA, 680 nt
Filed under: uncultured bacterium
Lineage: Bacteria
Description: bacterial SSU rRNA
Rfam family: Bacterial small subunit ribosomal RNA
Source: RNAcentral
AGAGUUUGAUCCUGGCUCAGGAUGAACGCUAGCGGCAGGCCUAACACAUGCAAGUCGAGGGGCAGCAGACCACUUCGGUGGUGCUGGCGACCGGCGCACGGGUGAGUAUCGCGUUUGCAACCUACCCUUAACUGGGGGAUAGCCCGAAGAAAUUCGGAUUAAUACCCCAUAAUAUUUAAAAACGGCAUCGUUUUUUCAUUAAAGCUCCGGCGGUUAAGGAUGGGCAUGCGUGACAUUAGUUUGUUGGUGAGGUAACGGCUCACCAAGACUACGAUGUCUAGGGGGUCUGAGAGGAUGAUCCCCCACACUGGUACUGAGACACGGACCAGACUCCUACGGGAGGCAGCAGUGAGGAAUAUUGGGCAAUGGACGCAAGUCUGACCCAGCCAUGCCGCGUGCAGGAUGACGGCGCUAUGCGUUGUAAACUGCUUUUAUACAGGAAGAAACCCUCCUACGUGUAGGAGGUUGACGGUACUGUAAGAAUAAGCAUCGGCUAACUCCGUGCCAGCAGCCGCGGUAAUACGGAGGAUGCAAGCGUUAUCCGGAUUCAUUGGGUUUAAAGGGUGCGCAGGCGGGGCAAUAAGUCAGUGGUGAAAUCCUGCGGCUUAACCGUAGAACUGCCAUUGAUACUGUUGCCCUUGAGUAUAGUUGAGGUGGGCGGAAUAUGUAAUGUAGCGGUG